Ribosomal RNA from Neurospora crassa OR74A, 124 nucleotides. Lineage: Eukaryota; Fungi; Ascomycota; Sordariomycetes; Sordariales; Sordariaceae. The record is from RefSeq and is a predicted model, not a curated record.
UAAUUCUAUAUCGUUAUAGUUGUAUAGCGGGUUCUUACUGUAAAACCCCCUAUUUCUAAAGUUAACCUCGGAUUAAGUAGGAAUACCCGCUAAAUUUAAGCAUAUUAAUAAGCAGAGGAAAAGA